RNAcentral lists this ribosomal RNA (429 nucleotides) under Gemmatimonadota bacterium. RNAcentral describes it as "Gemmatimonadetes bacterium partial 16S ribosomal RNA". It matches the Rfam family "Bacterial small subunit ribosomal RNA", at positions 355 to 776 of the family's 1533-position model. The record is from RNAcentral. Lineage: Bacteria; Pseudomonadati; Gemmatimonadota.
UAGGGAAUCUUCGGCAAUGGACGAAAGUCUGACCGAGCAACGCCGCGUGAGUGAAGAAGGUUUUCGGAUCGUAAAACUCUGUUGUUAGAGAAGAACAAGGACGUUAGUAACUGAACGUCCCCUGACGGUAUCUAACCAGAAAGCCACGGCUAACUACGUGCCAGCAGCCGCGGUAAUACGUAGGUGGCAAGCGUUGUCCGGAUUUAUUGGGCGUAAAGCGAGCGCAGGCGGUUUCUUAAGUCUGAUGUGAAAGCCCCCGGCUCAACCGGGGAGGGUCAUUGGAAACUGGGAGACUUAAGUGCAGAAGAGGAGAGUGGAAUUCCAGGUGUAGCGGUGAAUUGCGUAGAUAUAUGGAGGAACACCAGUGGCGAAGGCGGCUCUCUGGUCUGUAACUGACGCUGAGGCUCGAAAGCGUGGGGAGCAAACAGG